GCGUGGGUAGUCUAGCGGCAAUGACAGGAGACUGUAAAUCUCCCCUCUUCGGAGUUCGGUGGUUCGAGUCCACCCUUGCGCA
RNAcentral lists this transfer RNA (82 nucleotides) under Nanosynbacter sp. Its description in RNAcentral is "Candidatus Nanosynbacter sp. tRNA-Tyr". It matches the Rfam family "tRNA". Rfam says of the family: Transfer RNA (tRNA) molecules are approximately 80 nucleotides in length. Their secondary structure includes four short double-helical elements and three loops (D, anti-codon, and T loops). Further hydrogen bonds mediate the characteristic L-shaped molecular structure. tRNAs have two regions of fundamental functional importance: the anti-codon, which is responsible for specific mRNA codon recognition, and the 3' end, to which the tRNAs corresponding amino acid is attached (by aminoacyl-tRNA synthetases). tRNAs cope with the degeneracy of the genetic code in two manners: having more than one tRNA (with a specific anti-codon) for a particular amino acid; and 'wobble' base-pairing, i.e. permitting non-standard base-pairing at the 3rd anti-codon position. Lineage: Bacteria; Bacillati; Minisyncoccota; Nanosynbacteria; Nanosynbacterales; Nanosynbacteraceae. The record is from RNAcentral.